Molecule: ribosomal RNA, 496 nt
Filed under: uncultured bacterium
Lineage: Bacteria
Description: partial 16S ribosomal RNA
Rfam family: Bacterial small subunit ribosomal RNA
Source: RNAcentral
GAUGAACGCUGGCGGCGUGCCUAAUACAUGCAAGUCGAGCGAACAGACUAGGAGCUUGCUCCUCUGACGUUAGCGGCGGACGGGUGAGUAACACGUGGAUAACCUACCUAUAAGACUGGGAUAACUUCGGGAAACCGGCGCUAAUACCGGAUAAUAUAUUGAACCGCAUGGUUCAAUAGUGAAAGACGGUUUUGCUGUCACUUAUAGAUGGAUCCGCGCCGCAUUAGCUAGUUGGUAAGGUAACGGCUUACCAAGGCGACGAUGCGUAGCCGACCUGAGAGGGUGAUCGGCCACACUGGAACUGAGACACGGUCCAGACUCCUACGGGAGGCAGCAGUAGGGAAUCUGCCGCAAUGGGCGAAAGCCUGACGGAGCAACGACGCGUGAGUGAUGAAGGACUUCGGAUCGUAAAACUCUGUUAUUAGGGAAGAACAAAUGUGUAAGUAACUAUGCACGUCUUGACGGUACCGAAUCAGAAAGCCACGGCUAACUACGU